CCAUGUGGCGACACAGCGCGGAACUCGAAAACGACCUCUCAGUUCGGAUCGGAGUCUGCAACCCGACUCCGUGAAGCUGGAUUCGCUAGUAAUCGCGCAUCAGCCAUGGCGCGGUGAAUACGUUCCCGGGCCUUGUACACACCGCCCGUCAAGCCAUGGGAGCCGGGAGCGCUUGAAGUGCGUCGCCGCGAGGCGCGCCCUAGAGCGAGACCGGUGACUGGGGCUAAGUCGUAACAAGGUAUC
This 243-nucleotide ribosomal RNA is filed under the name uncultured bacterium. RNAcentral describes it as "partial 16S ribosomal RNA". It matches the Rfam family "Bacterial small subunit ribosomal RNA", at positions 1250 to 1500 of the family's 1533-position model. The record is from RNAcentral.